AGCCCAUAACCCAGGAGUACAGAAGCAAAAUGAUUAUGAUUAAGGAGUAAAGGAGGUUAAACCUAUAGAUAAUACUACCAAAACAUAGAGAAUAAAGGUAGAUGACUAACAGAUAAACAUACAGAGAACUCAGUCAGCGAUGAACAGACAAACAAAAGUUUGAAUACAAACUAGGUAUAUAAAAUAAAAAUCUAAACUAAGGCACAGGC
Molecule: long non-coding RNA, 209 nt
Filed under: Elaeis guineensis (African oil palm)
Lineage: Eukaryota; Viridiplantae; Streptophyta; Magnoliopsida; Arecales; Arecaceae
Description: long non-coding RNA (EGUI_LNC063438)
Source: RNAcentral